This 245-nucleotide ribosomal RNA is filed under the name uncultured bacterium. RNAcentral's name for it is "partial 16S ribosomal RNA". It matches the Rfam family "Bacterial small subunit ribosomal RNA", at positions 29 to 249 of the family's 1533-position model. The record is from RNAcentral.
AACGAACGCUGGCGGCGUGGCUAAGGCAUGCAAGUCGAACGGAUCUAUCCAACGGGUAACUGAAGGGUAGAUUAGUGGCGAACGGGUGAGGAAUACAUGGACAACGUACCCUGGACUCGGGGAUAGCGGCGGGCCGCAAGGCCCUUUAGCGAAAGUGCCGGUAAUACCCGAUGAUCCCGCGUGACCGCAUGGUCGUGCGGGCAAAGCUCCGACGGUCUAGGAUCGGUUCAUGGCCAUCAGCUAGU